Molecule: ribosomal RNA, 351 nt
Filed under: Theromyzon tigris
Lineage: Eukaryota; Metazoa; Annelida; Clitellata; Rhynchobdellida; Glossiphoniidae
Description: Theromyzon sp. t MF-2021 partial 28S ribosomal RNA
Rfam family: Eukaryotic large subunit ribosomal RNA
Source: RNAcentral
UCAGCCAUAACGUGGGAGAGGGGGAGCAAGCGAGCGCGCGAUGGGACCCGAAAGAUGCUGGACUAUGCCCGAGCAGGAUGAAGCCAGAGGAAACUCUGGUGGAGGUCCGCAGCGAUUCUGACGUGCAAAUCGAUCGUCGAACUGGGUAAUAGGGGCAAUCAAUCAAUCAAUCAGUCUAGUAGCCGGUUCCUGUCGAAGUUUCCUUCAGGAUAGCUGGCACUCGUUGCAGUUUUAUCCGGUAAAGCGAAUGAUUAGAGGCCUUGGGGACGAAACGACCUCAACCUAUUCUCAAACUUUAAAUGGGUAAGAAGUCCGACUCGCUCGAUUGGAGCCGGGUCGUUGCGAAUGCGA